RNAcentral lists this ribosomal RNA (253 nucleotides) under uncultured bacterium. Its description in RNAcentral is "partial 16S ribosomal RNA". It matches the Rfam family "Bacterial small subunit ribosomal RNA", at positions 524 to 776 of the family's 1533-position model. The record is from RNAcentral.
GACAGAGGGUGCAAACGUUGUUCGGAAUUACUGGGCGUAAAGCGCGUGUAGGCGGCUUCGCAAGUCGGGUGUGAAAUCCCACGGCUCAACCGUGGAAGUGCAUUCGAAACUGCAAGGCUAGAGUCCUGGAGAGGAAGGUGGAAUGCUUGGUGUAGAGGUGAAAUUCGUAGAUAUCAAGCGGAACACCGGUGGCGAAGGCGACCUUCUGGACAGUGACUGACGCUGAGACGCGAAAGCGUGGGGAGCAAACAGG